Molecule: small nuclear RNA, 184 nt
Organism: Dermacentor albipictus
Lineage: Eukaryota; Metazoa; Arthropoda; Arachnida; Ixodida; Ixodidae
Product: U2 spliceosomal RNA
Source: RefSeq, a predicted model, not a curated record
AUAUGGUCGCGACGCGGGUCAAAGUGUAGCAUCUGUUCUUAUCAGCUUAAUAUCUGAUUCGGGUUGUAUGUGUACCUAAGAUAUUAAACUUAUUUUUGCAAGGUGGUGGAGUGUUUAAAGCCUGUUUCACCUCCGCAGCGGAUCGGCCCGGUUUUGCACUGUCUUCGGGAUCGGUCCCCGUAUG